UACGAAGGUGGCAAGCGUUACUCGGAAUUACUAGGCGUAAAGGGCAGGUAGGUGGUUCGGUAAGUCUGUUGUGAAAUCUCCCGGCUUAACUGGGAGAGGUCAACAGAAACUACCGGGCUUGAGUAUAGGAGAGGGUACUGGAAUUCCCGGUGUAGCGGUGAAAUGCGCAGAGAUCGGGAGGAACACCAAUGGCGAAAGCAGGUACCUGGACUAUUACUGACACUCAGCUGCGAAAGCUAGGGGAGCAAACAGG
Molecule: ribosomal RNA, 253 nt
Filed under: uncultured bacterium
Lineage: Bacteria
Description: partial 16S ribosomal RNA
Rfam family: Bacterial small subunit ribosomal RNA
Source: RNAcentral